GACGAACGCUGGCGGCGCGCUUAACACAUGCAAGUCGAACGGAAAGGCCUGCUUUCCCUUCUGGAUUUCGGUUACGCGAGUGUCGAACGGGUGAGGAACACGUGAGUGAUCUGCGCGCAACUUGGGUAUAAGCGUGGGAAACUACGUCAUAUUCCCGGAAGUUGUACAGGGUGGUGCCUACGGUUGCAAACGAUUUUCUAGUGGAUGGGGAUGAGCUCGCGGUGUAUCAGCUUGUUGGUGGGGUAAUGGAUCACAAAGGCAACGACAGGUAGCCGGCCGGAGAGGGUGGUCGGCCACACUGGGACUGAGACACGGGCCAGACUCCUACGGGAGGCAGCAGUAGGGAAUCUUCGGCAAUGGACGGAAGUCUGACCGAGCAACGCCGCGUGAGUGAAGAAGGUUUUCGGAUCGUAAAGCGCUGUUGUAAGAGAAGAACGAGGGUGAGAGUGGAAAGUUCACACUGUGACGGUAGCUUACCAGAAAGGGACGGCUAACUACGUG
Molecule: ribosomal RNA, 501 nt
Filed under: uncultured bacterium
Lineage: Bacteria
Description: partial 16S ribosomal RNA
Rfam family: Bacterial small subunit ribosomal RNA
Source: RNAcentral